Molecule: ribosomal RNA, 480 nt
Filed under: uncultured bacterium
Lineage: Bacteria
Description: partial 16S ribosomal RNA
Rfam family: Bacterial small subunit ribosomal RNA
Source: RNAcentral
GACGAACGCUGGCGGCGUGCUUAACACAUGCAAGUCGAGCGAUGAAGCACCUUCGGGUGUGGAUUAGCGGCGAACGGGUGAGGAACACGUGAGGAAUCUGCCUUUCACUUCGGGAUAACUCCGGGAAACCGGGGCUAAUACCGGAUAUUUUCAACUGGCGGCAUCGCCGGUUGAAGAAAGUUUUUCGGUGAAAGAUGACCUCGCGGCCUACCAGCUUGUUGGUGAGGUAAUGGCUCACCAAGGCGACGACGGGUAGCCGGCCUGAGAGGGCGACCGGCCACACUGGGACUGGGAGACGGCGCAGACGCCUACGGGAGGCAGCAGUGGGGAAUAUUGGGCAAUGGAGGAAACUCUGACCCAGCGACGCCGCGUGAGGGAUGAAGGCCUUCGGGUUGUAAACCUCUUUCAGCAGGGAAUAAGCGAAAGUGAAGGUACCUGCAGAAGAAGCACCGGCUAACUAUGUGCCAGCCGCCGCAGUAA